AUGGAGAAACAUCUACUACUGCUUGUCGUAACAGUAUCAGGAGUAUUUCCUGACAGCAUUGGACCAAAAGACAAGGAUGCUAUAAAUCAGUAAAGAAGGACAGGCUGUGACACUGAGCUGCACAUACAGGACAAUCAGCAAUGAUGUUUCGCUUUACUGGUACAAACAGUAUCCCAACUCAGAACCUCAGUAUUUACUGUGGAAAGGUGCUCGAUCAAGCAACCGUGAAGAGGAUAUACCAGAUCGACGCUUUCAGUCGACUACAUCCCAGACAUCCACUGAACUCACUAUUAGGAGUGUAACUCUGUCAGAUUCAGCUCUCUAUUAUUGUGCUCUAAGAGCAACAGCCCCCAGUGUGUUUGCUGACAGCAUUACACCAAACAAGGAGACUAAUAUGAUCAAGAGAGAAGGAGAGUCUGUGACACUGAGCUGCACAUAUGAUACAAGCAGCAAUUAUGUUUAUCUUUACUGGUACAGACAGUAUCCCAACACAGAACCUCAGUAUUUACUUCUAAAAGGAGCUCGAUCAAAUAGUGCAGAGCGUAAAACAGAUGAACGGUUUCGGCCAACUACAUCCCAAACAUCCACUGAACUCACCAUUACUGGCGUAACUCUGUCAGAUUCAGCUCUCUAUUAUUGUGCUCUAAGAGUAGCAGCCCAGUGA
Non-coding RNA from Labeo rohita (rohu), 664 nucleotides. The record is from the annotation of a RefSeq genome assembly. NCBI's taxonomy places the organism in Eukaryota, Metazoa, Chordata, Actinopteri, Cypriniformes, Cyprinidae.